RNAcentral lists this long non-coding RNA (1163 nucleotides) under Monodelphis domestica (gray short-tailed opossum). Its description in RNAcentral is "lncRNA (ENSMODG00000042349.1)". The record is from RNAcentral. Lineage: Eukaryota; Metazoa; Chordata; Mammalia; Didelphimorphia; Didelphidae.
CUUGAGGACAAUCUCUUGAAGACAGUCAGCUGGGAAAGGCUGAAUUGAAGGAGGCAGUUGGCCAAGGCUGCCUUGAAGGGUCUCUCUUGGGACUCUCUUGGGGACAUUCUGAGAGAUUCAGAUUCAGGAUUGAGCUGGUGCCUCUCUGAUCACUAGAAUCCUUGCUUGGACAGAUCUUGUGAGUCAUCGAAGUCCAAUGAAAUAAGUCAAGAUGACUGGUGAUAGCUCAGGAUGCAGUGAAUGAGCUUGGCUUCCUUGAUGUCUGGCGAAGUUCUAAGCACUUCAUAGUUUGGAAAACUGAGGCACUAACCAGUCCUCCAUGGUACUUCCUGGCUAUCUCACCUCCUCCUCAACAUGCCUACACUUUGGGACCUCAUCUUAUUUCACCUGAAUAUAAUCAUGGACUCUGCCUCUGGGUCACCAGUUUUGAUAGAGUCGUCAAAAUUCAGUGGCAAGACAAAAGUCAGGACAACUGGGGAUGGUCCAGGAUGCAGCGGAUGUCCAUGGCAUCUUUGAUGUCUGACCAAGCUCCAAGCACUCCACAAUAUCUGCUUCAGCCACCUGCAUGGCCUCUGGAACAAAUUGCUUUCAUCUGCCGGUUCUGCCAGGGGAAGUCCUUACAUGCUUGGCAUAGACAUCCCUGCUAAUUUACUGCUUGGAUUGUGGUCUAUCACUUUCCUUGAACCCAAUCUAUUAUUUAUUUAUUUAUUUUUGGAUAAAUUUAUUUAAUUAAUUUAUUUGGAAUAUUUUCCAUGGUUACAAGAUUCAUAUUCUUUCCUUCCCUUGCCCCUACCCCCUUCCCAUAGCCGAUGUACCCUUCCAAUGAGUUUUACAUGUCAUUGAUCCAGACCUAUUUCCAUAUUACUGAUAAUUUCACCAGGGUGAUCGUUUAGAGUCUGCAUCCCCAACCAUAUCCCUAUUGACCCACGUUAUCGAGCAGUUGUUUUUCUUCUGCUCCCACAGUUCUUCCUCUGAAUGUGGAGAGUGUUCUUUCUCAUAAGUCCCUCAGAACCUUGAACCUAAUUUAGCUUGUCUGUCAGAUGGUUUUGCCAGGACUCCAGCUUCUUGGAGCCACAGGUGAGAGUUGGCUGAAUGAAAGGAGGAGGGUGAGCAGCCCUGGAAAGGGCUUGGCAAGCUCCCACACCAAAGGGGCUAGUUCUCUC